This is a non-coding RNA of Picea glauca (white spruce), 121 nucleotides long. The record is from Rfam. Lineage: Eukaryota; Viridiplantae; Streptophyta; Pinopsida; Pinales; Pinaceae.
ACAUGCCUACAACAUAGCAUUAAUGCACCAGAUCCCAUUAUAACUCCACAGUUAAGCACGCUAGGGCUAGAGUAGUACUGGGAUGGGUGAUUGCCCGAGAAGUCCUAGUAUUUUACAUGCC